This 253-nucleotide ribosomal RNA is filed under the name uncultured bacterium. RNAcentral describes it as "partial 16S ribosomal RNA". It matches the Rfam family "Bacterial small subunit ribosomal RNA", at positions 524 to 776 of the family's 1533-position model. The record is from RNAcentral.
UACGUAUGGUGCAAGCGUUAUCCGGAUUUACUGGGUGUAAAGGGAGCGUAGGCGGGAGAUUAAGUUAAGAGUGAAAGCCUUGGGCUCAACCCAAGAAAUGCUCUUAAUACUGGUUUUCUAGAGUGUGGGAGAGGUAAGUGGAAUUCCUAGUGUAGCGGUAGAAUGCGUAGAGAUUAGGAGGAACAUCAGAGGCGAAGGCGGCUUACUGGACCAUAACUGACGCUGAGGCUCGAAAGCGUGGGGAGCAAACAGG